GAUGAACGCUGGCGGCGUGCCUAAUACAUGCAAGUCGAGCGAACGGACGAGAAGCUUGCUUCUCUGAUGUUAGCGGCGGACGGGUGAGUAACACGUGGCUAACCUACCUAUAAGACUGGGAUAACUUCGGGAAACCGGAGCUAAUACCGGAUAAUAUUUUGAACCGCAUGGUUCAAAAGUGAAAGCCGGUCUUGCUGUCACUUAUAGAUGGAUCCGCGCUGCAUUAGCUAGUUGGUAAGGUAACGGCCUACCAAGGCAACGAUGCAUAGCCGACCUGAGAGGGUGAUCCGUCACACUGGAACUGAGACACGGUCCAGACUCCUACGGGAGGCAGCAGUGGGGAAUAUUGGACAAUGGGCGAAAGCCUGAUGCAGCAAUGCCGCGUGAGUGAAGAAGGUCUUCGGAUCGUAAAACACUUUAAGUUGGGAGGAAGGGAAGUAUGUUAAUACGUUGAUGUUUUGACGUUACCAACAGAGUAAGCACCGGCUAACUUCGUG
This 497-nucleotide ribosomal RNA is filed under the name uncultured bacterium. RNAcentral's name for it is "partial 16S ribosomal RNA". It matches the Rfam family "Bacterial small subunit ribosomal RNA", at positions 28 to 507 of the family's 1533-position model. The record is from RNAcentral.